Molecule: ribosomal RNA, 490 nt
Filed under: uncultured bacterium
Lineage: Bacteria
Description: partial 16S ribosomal RNA
Rfam family: Bacterial small subunit ribosomal RNA
Source: RNAcentral
AGUGAACGCUGGCGGCAGGCCUAACACAUGCAAGUCGAACGGCAGCACAAGAGAGCUUGCUCUCUGGGUGGCGAGUGGCGGACGGGUGAGGAAUGCAUAGGAAUCUGCCCAUUUUUGGGGGAUAACCUCGGGAAACCGGGACUAAUACCGCAUACGACCUACGGGUGAAAGCAGGUGAUCUUCGGACCUUGCGCAGAUGGAUGAGCCGAUGCCGGAUUAGCUAGUUGGAGGGGUAAAGGCCCACAAAGGCGACGAUCCGUAGCUGGUCUGAGAGGAUGAUCAGCCACACUGGGACUGAGACACGGCCCAGACUCCUACGGGAGGCAGCAGUGGGGAAUAUUGGACAAUGGGCGCAAGCCUGAUCCAGCCAUGCCGCGUGUGUGAAGAAGGCCUUCGGGUUGUAAAGAACUUUUGUUGGGAAAGAAAAGCAGCCGGCUAAUACCCGGUUGUCAUGACGGUACCCAAAGAAUAAGCACCGGCUAACUUCGUG